AACGAACGCUGGCGGCAUGCCUAACACAUGCAAGUCGAACGAGACCUUCGGGUCUAGUGGCGCACGGGUGCGUAACGCGUGGGAACCUGCCCUUAGGUUCGGAAUAACUCCCCGAAAGGGGUGCUAAUACCGGAUAAUGUCUUCGGACCAAAGAUUUAUCGCCUUUGGAUGGGCCCGCGUUGGAUUAGCUAGUUGGUAGGGUAAAAGCCUACCAAGGCGACGAUCCAUGGCUGGUCUGAGAGGAUGAUCAGCCACACUGGGACUGAGACACGGCCCAGACUCCUACGGGAGGCAGCAGUGGGGAAUAUUGGACAAUGGGCGAAAGCCUGAUCCAGCAAUGCCGCGUGAGUGAUGAAGGCCUUAGGGUUGUAAAGCUCUUUUACCCGGGAUGAUAAUGACAGUACCGGGAGAAUAAGCGCCGGCCAACUCCGUG
Molecule: ribosomal RNA, 433 nt
Filed under: uncultured bacterium
Lineage: Bacteria
Description: partial 16S ribosomal RNA
Rfam family: Bacterial small subunit ribosomal RNA
Source: RNAcentral